AUUGAACGCUGGCGGCAGGCCUAACACAUGCAAGUCGAGCGAGCGGCGGACGGGUGAGUAAUGUAUGGGGACUGCCCGAUAGAGGGGGAUAACUACUGGAAAAGGUGGCUAAUACCGCAUAUUGUCGGAUAACACAACGGGGAUUAGCUAGUAGGUAAGGUAAUGGCUUACCUAGGCGACGAUCCCUAGCUGGUCUGAGAGGCUGAUCCGCCACACUGGGACUGAGACACGGCCCAGACUCCUACGGAGGCAGCAGUGGGGAAUAUUGCACAAUGGGCGCAAGCCUGAUGCAGCCAUGCCGCGUGUAUGAAGAAGGCCCUAGGGUUGUAAAGUACUUUCAGUCGGGAGGCGUUACCGACAGAAGAAGCACCGGCUAACUCCGUGCCAGCCGCCGCGGUAAUUC
RNAcentral lists this ribosomal RNA (403 nucleotides) under uncultured bacterium. Its description in RNAcentral is "partial 16S ribosomal RNA". It matches the Rfam family "Bacterial small subunit ribosomal RNA", at positions 30 to 526 of the family's 1533-position model. The record is from RNAcentral.